This 822-nucleotide ribosomal RNA is filed under the name uncultured bacterium. Its description in RNAcentral is "bacterial SSU rRNA". It matches the Rfam family "Bacterial small subunit ribosomal RNA", at positions 10 to 810 of the family's 1533-position model. The record is from RNAcentral.
AGGUUGAUCCUGGCUCAGGAUGAACGCUGGCGGCGUGCCUAAUACUUGCCAGUCAAGCGAACAGACGAGGAGCUUGCUCCUCUGACGUUAGCGGCGCGACGGGUGAGUAACACGUAGGUAUAACCUACCUAUAAUACUGGGAUAACUUCGGGAACCCGGAGCUAAUACCGGAUAAUAUAUUGGACCGCAUGGUUCAAUAGGGAAAGACGGUUUUGCUGUCACUUAUAGAUGGAUCCGCGCCGCAUUAGCUAGUUGGUAAGGGAGCGGCUUACCAUGGCAACGAUGCGUAUCCGACCUGAGAGGGUGAUCGGCCACUCUGGAACUGAGACACGGCCCAAACUCCUACGGGAGGCAGCAGUUAGGGUAUCUUUCACAAUGGGCGAAAGCCUGACGGAGCAACGCCGCGUGAGUGAUGAAGGUUUUCGGAUCGUAAAACUCUGUUAUUAGGGAAGAACAAAUGUGUAAGUAACUAUGCACGUCUUGACGGUACCUAAUCAGAAAGCCACGGCUAACUACGUGCCAGCAGCCGCGGUAAUACGUAGGUGGCAAGCGUUAUCCGGAAUUAUUGGGCGUAAAGCGCGCGUAGGCGGUUUUUUAAGUCUGAUGUGAAAGCCCACGGCUCAACCGUGGAGGGUCAUUGGAAACUGGAAAACUUGAGUGCAGAAGAGGAAAGUGGAAUUCCAUGUGUAGCGGUGAAAUGCGCAGAGAUAUGGAGGAACACCAGUGGCGAAGGCGACUUUCUGGUCUGUAACUGACGCUGAUGUGCGAAAGCGUGGGGAUCAAACAGGAUUAGAUACCCUGGUAGUCCACGCCGUAAACGAU